GAUAUGAACUUGGUAUGAUGUCACUCUGUUGACAGGCUGCAGUAUGCAGAGCACUGUCUCAAGACGUGAUGUAAGCAGUAAGGUGAUGGUCCACCUCCCAAAACAAGGCUCUGUGUAUUCACUCCUUUACUCAUUCUUCACGUCUAAGUGUCAGUGUUGCUUAGAGUAUGUUUAUAUGCUGCUGAGAUUCAGCAAUUAAUUUUUCUCUUCUGCAGAGGACAUCUGUCAUUCCAUACAGACCACUCCAUUGGGUCCUGUUGUUCUGACAAGAGGACAUUUAACAAUCUCAUGAGGUCCUUGGGAUGGAUAGACUGCUACCAAGAAAAAUUCUCCAACAGAGGGCAACGUCUGCAGCAUAAACGGCGCAGCAAACGCAUAACUUGUAAAAGCAAAGACAAAAACAAUAGGGAUCCAGUAGCUUGGACCGCUAAUUAGCCCAGUGGUUUGGAAAACAGUCCGUAGGAUUCAUGGCUCCAAAGUGCUUCCUACCAGCUUCCUGAAAGACCAAGAUACAAGUCUGACUUUGCUACUAAAGGUCACUUGCCAUCUUUCCAAUAUGCCUAGCCAUAAACCAAAGUGUGCAUAAUCCUACGUCAUCAUCCAGAGAGAAAUGCCAUAUUUGUAUGAUAUUAAUUAAAUCCUCAAUCCAGAAAAUCAAUCUCCAUAUUUUAGAUCACAAAAAGUUUGUGACCAUGAGGGUUAAAAUGUACUAUUUAAAAUAUCUUAAAAGUUGCAACCAUCAAGUGGUUUUACGGAAUCUCAGGUUAGUUUGAUAGAGUUUGAUGUGCAAUUUGUUACCCCUGGUUGACUCCUUUGCUGACAGACACAGGACACUUCACUGCUUUAACCUACAGAUAUGUAUUUAUUUUUAAACCAGUUUAAGUCAGUCUUCUAUGAUUAUAGCUAAGUAUUUUUUCUGCUUCUGAUUAUUAUAUUACAGCUGCAUUCAUUUUUAAUAUAGCGUCACUACAUGAUUUUUUAAAGAUGCAGAGCAUUUUGUUUUCGAGUACUCUCUGAUCAUGCCAGCAGUGCUACUGAGUUUCUUAAAAACUGCAGCUUUACAGAAGACAGGACAGCAGGAUAAACACAAUUGAAAGAAAUGGAAAGUGACAUCUAAUUUGCACUAUAUAGCUUUUGGGAUUUACAUAAAGUGACUGUAAACUGCAUUUAUCCAUGUUCAUUUCCUGAAGACUUACAAGCCUGCAUUUUGGCUUCUGAAUAGGGCUGAGUGUAAAUUAAUAUAAUUAAGUUACAUAAAAUGGCCACAUUACAUUAACUGAGGAGGUGUAACAAUAUCCAAAAUAUUACACACCAAGUUAUGAUCCCUCAAAGCAGUUUAGUGGCACAAGGCCAAGUGAAUAAUAACCAGAAAAAAUGGUAACAGCAUGAAGCAUGAACAUGGACUUAUGGGUGAAGGGACAGAACUGUAUGAAGAACUCUGUGACCUGCACUGGACAUAGGGUUAUCGGAGAAUGGACAGAACCGUCUGAAGCACACCAAGACCUGCACUGGACAUAGGGUUAUCGGAGAAUAGACAGAACCGUCUGAAGCACACCAAGACCUGCACUGGACAUGGGAUUAUGGGAGAAUAGACAGAACCGUCUGAAGCACACCGUGACCUGCACUGGACAUGGGAUUAUGGGUGAAUGGACAGAGCCGUCUGAAGCACACCGUGACCUGCACUGGACAUGGGGUUAUGGGUGAAUGGACAG
Molecule: long non-coding RNA, 1712 nt
Organism: Paramormyrops kingsleyae
Lineage: Eukaryota; Metazoa; Chordata; Actinopteri; Osteoglossiformes; Mormyridae
Source: RefSeq, a predicted model, not a curated record